Molecule: long non-coding RNA, 939 nt
Organism: Mus musculus (house mouse)
Lineage: Eukaryota; Metazoa; Chordata; Mammalia; Rodentia; Muridae
Product: predicted gene, 41856
Exons: 2
Source: RefSeq, a predicted model, not a curated record
AGGGAGGGACUGAAGUGACCGAGGAGAGAAUCGGGGUCCUGGUCCUUCCCCUGCUGGCUCCCCCUUAACUGUUGUCAGCUCUGACUCCAAAGAAGAUACCCAAAGACACAGAGACAAGAACAUUCUGCAUCUAGAUUAAACCUGUUAAACCCACAGAACUGCCUUGGACGUGCAGGGCAGUGGGAGUGGCCUCGUGCCUGAGGGUGCCAGACAGUCUCUGUGUCACAGGUGGACUCCUGUGGGAACAUCUAUCAAGGCAUUUACAGAUUCAUUCAGUGGACCAAGAGCACAUGGAUGGAUGCCCUGUGCUGGAGGAGCAGGGGCCACACCGAGGAGUCCGAAGGACAGCUAUGUAAAGGGAGUGGCAAAGGCAUCGACACAGGAGGCAGUGGUCCUAAAUGUCCACCCAUCCCUUAUUCCACCUCCAGCCUUUUCCCUUUUCUAAGCCACAGGCACCACUUACUGCUCUCCAAACCUCUGUGCCACCUCAUCCUGAAAACCUCAGGGGUCCCAGCUCCAGGUUUAGCUGCUUAAUAUUCAAGGUCCAUCAAAACAUAGGAUACCCUGUUUAAAAGUUAUAAGGAGUUUCGUGAUGGAGAUAGCAGAACUAACAUAGCAGGCUCGAGCUUCUUGGGAUUGCACAGGGUGUCCGUGAAGUGAGCCCUGCUUGCCUUCCAUCCAGUGACAUGAUGCUGUACUCUCUCUCAGUCCUCCUGAGCCCCCUGCUACAGAACCUGGGAAAACCUUCCUCUUGUCGCUGGUACCACUCACCUGGACUCCAAGCCCCACCCCCUAACCCUGCUUCUCCCUACAUGCCUCUGCUGCUAUAUCUCUUGCUUGGAACUCAAUUCCUCUAGAAAAUUCCCUCCUUCGGCCGUCUCCUCCAGGAAGGCUCUUGAUUUUCCACAUAAUAAACGACGCAUUGGGUCAAAGCACAAA